GGAGGCUAGGGCCGGAGGAGGAGGCCGGAGAGGGAGAGGGAGGAGGAGGAGGCCGGAGGAGGAACCCGGCAGGAGAGGGAGAGGGAGCGGAGGCGGAGACCGGGAGAGGGAGAGGGAGAGGGCGGCGACCAGAAGAGGGAGCGGAGGCGGAGGAGGGGAAAUUCGGAGAGGGAGAGGAGGCGGAGGCUAGGGCUUACAAUUAACCAGUCGAGUUAUACCCGAAAACUUUAGCCGACGAAAUAAUAAUUUCGUCGGCUAAAGAUAAUAAUUUCGUCCGCUAAAAUAAUAAUCUCGUCGGCUAAGAUAAAAUUCGUCGGCUAAACCUUUGAAAUUCGUCGGCUAAACCUUUGAAAUUCGUCGGCUUUAAAACAAUUAACCAUUCGUCAAACUAUGAUUGUGAUUGUGAUGAUCAAACUUGAGAACGAAAAUCCGACCGUCAGAUCUCACCACCAUGAUAAAAUACAUGUAUGGGAAAAUUCAACUUGAUCCGAUAAGGUUAAGGGCUCGAUCCGAACGGUCAAUCCUUUAAGUCAAAUCCCUAAACGCACGGAAAAAGUCAUUGGACUGUCUAAAUUACGUAUUUUAGCUGGACCUUCAACUGAAAAUAGUUUCAAACCGAUGAGACGCAACAAGUCCUAUAAAAAUUUUACGCAAAAUAACCACCGAAGAUAGGGCUACCCAUAGGGAGAAAGAAUGGAAAAUUGCAUUGACCGCAACUAUCGGCACCGAGACUUUACCGCAAUACCGUGAUUUUUCAACCGUAGACGUAUUUCACCAUUCUGGUCAUGUCUUAUUUCACGACUUUUUUACGUUUGAAGGUUCUACCUAUAGUUUGUUUUUGAAACGGAACAUUUACUUAACACUUGGUAAACAAGUUAUACAACAUUAGUAGGCAUGUUGUGAUUGUGAUGAUCAAACUUGAGAAAAUGAAAUCCGAUUGUCAAAUCUGACCAUCAUGAUAAGAUACAUGUAUGGGAAAAAAUUCAACUUGAUCUGACAAGGUUAAGUGCUCGAUCCGGACGGUCAAUCUCGUAAGUCAAACCCCUAAAUGCACGAAAAAGGUCGUUGGACCGUCUAAAUUUCGUAUUUUGGCCGGACCUUCAACUGAAAAUAUUUUCAAAUCCAUGAGACACAACAAAUCGUAUAAAAAUUUUAUGCAAAAUAACCACCGAAGAUAGGGCUAUAGUAUGUAACAGAAAAAGUUUAGGGUUUAGCCGACGAAUACC
RNAcentral lists this long non-coding RNA (1226 nucleotides) under Fragaria vesca (wild strawberry). RNAcentral's name for it is "long non-coding RNA (FVES_LNC004653)". The record is from RNAcentral. Lineage: Eukaryota; Viridiplantae; Streptophyta; Magnoliopsida; Rosales; Rosaceae.